This 21-nucleotide unclassified non-coding RNA is filed under the name Mus musculus (house mouse). RNAcentral describes it as "oocyte_clustered_small_RNA10113". Lineage: Eukaryota; Metazoa; Chordata; Mammalia; Rodentia; Muridae. The record is from RNAcentral.
UCAUAUCCUCACCAGCAUCUG